AUUAUAACCUGCCGAACUUCAUUUUUUUUUGUUGUUAAUAUGUAUUUUUUAACCUUUUUAAAAUAUAUUUGUGUAAUAACAUUUGAAGGAGCACAGCUAUUCAAUAACCUAAGAUUAUGUAAAGGUCGCAGACUCGAUCACUAUUUUCAAACGGAGACUUAAACUAAACAUCACAUCAAAUGACAUAGUUCGACUACGAAUAUUUUUUAUCGUUGGUUUUUUUUUCUUUUUUCUCCUUUUAACUUCUCUCAAGCGUUGGUUGCACGAUUCACAAAAUCACUGACCACGUCUGCCACCUACAAACUAGAAUCUAACUAAAUCUGUUACGUAAAUGUUGUUGUUUCUCAUGCAAAUACUGUAUGGUUAUAAAUGAGAAAAUAAAGAUCUUUAACUUUAAUACAAAACUUUGUCCUGCCAGUGAUAAAGAAAAUUGAGUUCGAUUGUUCAAUUGAGUGCAGUGGCAAUGUUAUGCGCGUUUAUAGAUUUCAGCGAUUCACUUUUAUUUAUAUAGAUUAAUUAUUUAUUUAACUACAAUGAACAAACAAGCAAUAUCUUAAGAUUUUAACGAAAUUAUUGAAAUUUGUAUUAAAAAUAAUUUUAGGGUUACCAUCUAAAAAGAUAAAAUAUAGAAUGAACUUUAAAUUUUUUUGAUGAAUUUAAAAUUAUAUUUAUAUCAAUCACAAUUUCAAUCAGCCUGUUAUAUCUUACUGCUGGCCAUAGGCUUUUUUCUCCAUGUAGAAAUAUUGAAGCUUAACACGUUUAACGCCAUGGGGGACACCAGCUGGGCCUCUUGUUUCGUCCAUGGAGCCAGUUUAAAAGUCCUUAUUUAUAAAAUGUAUAUGAUAAGUUUUUAUUGCAUUACCUUAUUCAUACUUAAAGAUCUUACUUAUUUUUCCUUACACAAUAUGACAUAUUCUUCUAAGUCAUAUUUUUUAAGUUGACUCUGGCUUCCGUUCAUGUGCUGUCCCCCGCGACAACAACGGAUAAAAUUGUACGUCGACUACACGGUGUCGUCCCCCAUGGCCCAAACAUAAAAACUAAAAAAAAAAAUUAGCCGGCGUUUAAUGUAUUCAUCCACCACGCUUCUCCACUUCGGGUUGGCGUUAUUGAGUUAUAUUCAAGCUUAAGUAAUAAUAUAUAAAGAUCUGUAUACGGUAAUAAUUAAAUAUCGUUUAUUGUAAUAACAAAUAAUACUAUGAAAAUGACUGUCUUUAUAAUUAUAUGCAGCGUAAAAAUUUAAUUUAGAAAUGUAAUAUCUUGUAUAUGUUAUCUUUGUUCUGACCUUUAAAAUUUUGUUACUAUUACUAAGGGCCUGUUUCACCGUAUCCAACAGAUAAAACUUUUUGAUAUAUUAUUCGCUUUUAAUAUCGAAUCUUAAUAGAAUUCUUCUGUGUGAUUCUUGAAAGUUGUGGUUGAUUAAUUGAGAAGUAACAGAUCCUAAGGGCCCAUUCUACCUGCUUCUGUAAAAGUUUAUUCGUAACUUAUCUGCAGGAUAUGAUACAUCUACAAUCAAAACAGGCUCUAAGAGCACAUAUUUAAAGCAUAAUUUUAUUUCAAAUGUGAUAUAUUUUGUUUCGUACUACAAUAAAUUUUACCAAUGAAAUUACCAUAGAUUGUAUUUAUUAUUUUGAGUAUAUCGGGAGAUAAUUUUCAAGAUCUAGUCAUUUCCACUUUUCCAAUAAAAAGACAAGGGAUGGGUUCAAAACUGUAAAAUUCAUAGCAUAUUAUGGCUCUCCCCGAUUAAAAAAAGGUAGAAAAUAAAUUAUAAAUUCAAAAAAUUGAAUUUUGGAUAUGACUGACUGAAAAUCACAUCCUGAUUUUUUUUUAAUUUAAGUUAGAGGCUAAAGCAAUAAUUGUACCUUAAAACGAGUCAUAUAAAUGAGUAUUUACUGUCCGAUGUUAUUCUUUAAUAAUUUAUUUGUUAUAUUAUAAUUUGAAGUAUUAUUUUUUUACCAAAAAAAGUUUGUUUUGCACAAAUAAUUGUGAUUACGUAUGGCACUGUGUUCGUGUGUCUGAGUGUUGAUGGUUUGUAUUAAUUUAUUUCAUUAAAUGUUAUUAUAGUAAUAAA
Long non-coding RNA from Melitaea cinxia (Glanville fritillary), 2068 nucleotides. RefSeq lists it as uncharacterized. The record is from RefSeq and is a predicted model, not a curated record. Lineage: Eukaryota; Metazoa; Arthropoda; Insecta; Lepidoptera; Nymphalidae. The transcript is spliced from 2 exons.